UACCCUUUUGCCUUUUGAUCUUAGCCGUCCAUUUUGAUUUAAUAUGGGCCGUCUGUUUUUGAUUAAAUCUGGGCCGUCCGUGCGAUUAAAUCUGGGCCGUCCGUGCGCGCGAUUUAUCUGGACCGUCCGAUCGCGCGCACGCGGAUCGCCAACGUGGCCCGUCCCCGGUCGACGUGGUUUUGCCACGUGGCAAGUCCUGGUUGGCCAGGACUGCUGACGUGGCGC
This 225-nucleotide long non-coding RNA is filed under the name Carica papaya (papaya). RNAcentral's name for it is "long non-coding RNA (CPAP_LNC007191)". Lineage: Eukaryota; Viridiplantae; Streptophyta; Magnoliopsida; Brassicales; Caricaceae. The record is from RNAcentral.